ACCCCCCAUGAAGGCUGGAAUUUUUAUCUACCUUGUUCAUUUAUGUACCUAGAAAUACCUCAGUACCUAGAAAUGUAUCUGGAACAUAAUAGGUACUCAGUACUUAUUUGCUGUUGGAUGUUAAAACAGCUGCAUCCCUCUACUGGCUCUAAGUUCUUGUCUUACUCAUUAACGCAUCCUCCGUGUCAAGAACAACUCCUGGCUCAUAAUAAACAUUCAAUAAAUGUUAACUAAUUAAUAAAUUAAUGGAUUAAUGAAUUAAUGAAACAGUUCACCAAGAACAAAGCUUUAACAUAAAAGAAUCUCUUUGAAAUCAAAUAACGCACAUUGUCUAUUUACCCAUCUUCCAUUUGUCUCCCCUCUUCACUUCUACAAGGAUUUCUCCAAUCAACCUUCCUUUCCUUUAACUCAUCUUUGGUGUACCUACUAACUAGUUCCAGUGAAGUCACACUUCCAUGUCUAGCUCCCUGUGGGGAAACAGCUGCAAAAUAGCAGACUUGAGGGAGACUGUUUUCCUGUUUUCUCUUCUUGUUUAUACACAUCUGUUAAAUUUUAAAACUCUUUGCAAUUAACAUGUAAUACUUGCUAUUUAAUUAAAAGGAUGCUAAGUUAUAAAGAUUGAAACAUUAAAAGGCACAAAAGGAAAAAAAUACAGAAACUUCAAUUCUUUGACAGUACUUUAAGAAAAUGUGAGUCUACCAUAGUUAGAAGGUUGUUUCCAGAUCCUAAUAAUUUACAUUAUUAUGUUAAAAUAUAUGUGUAGAGACAGCUCUUCUUCAAGGUUCAAAUUAAUAUUUAUACAAGUUAUGACCAACCUCAUACCUCCACUUUCCUGACCUGUUUUUCUAUGACUUUAAUUACCAGAAUCAAGAGUAGAAAAAUGAAAAUAAAAUAGAAAAGUUUCUAUUUCAACAAUCACAACUCAGCAAAUCACUUAGAAAGCUUUACUAAUUUCUCCAGUUUCAAAAAUGAAGGGUAAAGUCGUUCAGGUAAAGCCCAUCCUUGCUACACACCUUUCCAGCAUGUGGCCCUCUUUAUUGUGAAGGCCUUGGGCACAAAUGAAAGUUACAACUUUAAGUCCCACAAAGAAAUCUUGAAAGAGCCAAAUAUCUGUUCAUCUAACUCAGCCUUCAGAAAACAGAGGCAUGUGACUCUUUUUGAACCUGCCUUCAAAGCUGAGGAUUGUCAGCCACGGGCUUCUUUUUCACAUCACAUGGGGUCCACUGGUGAUCAGACACCUGUGAAGCUGCCUGUGUUACCUCGAAAGCUUUUGUAGCCUCUGCAGGCACAGCUAUGCUGGGGACAGUCACCUGUGUCACUUGUGGUUGGUAAUUACAGAAUAAAAGUCACUGGAGUCCUAACAUGUGAAGGAAGUGCCAGGAAACAGAAUUCUCUCAAGAUGACUUUUAAAUGACUAGGUUAAUCUUCUACUGUAUCUUUUCAGGUAAGCAAGGGUGGGGGUGGAGUUAGGGAUGAAGUGGGAGAAAUAGAUGGGUCUUGGCAACAAGUCAUCCAUCCAACCAAAGGCCAGAGGAAUCACCACCUCUGCCACCCAUAUAAAUAACUUUACCUAAUGAAAUGCAUACGUUCAUUUGCUUCUCCCUGACAUUUAACAACAGACUUGACAUUGGCACAAUCUAUCUGAAUGAUCUGCCAGGAGAGUACUUUUUCAAAGACUGCCAAUUUCCCAUACAAUUGGCAACAUUUUCAGCAAUCUUUCAACUCACUCAUCAGAAGUGACUGGAAUUCCCUAUUCUGGCCCUCUAACUUCUGGGUGUAGAAGGCAGAAGGAAGCAGAAUAUCUGCAGAAAUACAAAUUAGUGCACAGAAAUUCACAAGCUUCAAUUCCUCUUAGCAUGUACACAGGAAUAAUGAAAUAGAGCUGUGCCAACUAUAUUUAAAUUCCACAUGUCAUUUCAAAAUGUAUUUAGAGAGAAAUUAAAAUUUUUUAAGUUAAAAAUAGAGGCUUGCUUUAAAAAGCAUUCCUUAUUAGGUAGAAUAGUCUUCACUUUAAAAAAUUUUUUUCUGAAAGCAAAAUAGGACUUCCAUUUGUACAAAUCCCUUCUAAUCUGUAAGCAAGAACACUGGUGGUGGCACGAGAUAAUUUGGUGUUAAGGCAAGAUGAAAAAAAUGGGAAGCUUUCUUAUGAGUUUUAGUUUUUAAAAUUAUAGUAACCUUUUACCAAGGGGUUAGCAUCUCACAAUCUCUAAUUCUAGAGAUACAGUGAACAAUUAAACUGUUAAAAUAACCAAGAUGAUCAAGCUCUCUAAAAUCACAGAACCUCAAUGCAUCAUGGAGGAACUCCUAAAAUGAAAGAAAUGGAGAAAUGAGCUGAGAGUCUAUUUCACUCUAGGACAAUAACUGACAGUUAUAUUUAACAAUGAGUGUCAACCAUAAAAUAUGUUCUGUGUAUUAUUUUAAGAAAGAAAUUCGUAACACAUUUUAGGAACUUUUCCAUCUGAAUGGUUUGCAUUGAGUGAAAAGAUUCAGUUGUCUGAAACAUUAUUUAUUUUGAAGAUUUGCAAUUUUGAACAUAACAAAUGUCAUCUGUGUAAAGUAAACUUGAACUUUGACUAAGUAUUUGUCUAAAAUGAAACAGUAUAGGCAUUAUCCCAGUAAUAGGAAACAGUUUUCUUAACCCUUGUCAACACUACUGUGAUAUAUAUUGAAUAAUAACCGUUUAAGCAUUCUUGGCCUAGUCAUUUAAGAUCUUCCUUUCCAUCUCUUAACUACCUGGCCCCUAAAUAUCUUGACCUAAUAUCAGCAAAAUACGAAGAGCAUUCUUUCCGCUGUUGCUGGGACUACUCCCCUCCAAAAUCUUCAACUCCCAUACUCUCCUUCUCACAAGUUCCACCUCAUGGAAUUGUCCAUGAAGUUCUCUCUUUCAGUAAUGCUGACAAUGCCUCUUUGACUUCACCAAGUCAUUCAAGGCCUUUUCAUCUUCCUUUUCCAUCCAUCCAUCAACACCUCUUGGCUUCAGUUCUUUUUGUUGUCGUUGUAAUUCACCACUUAACUGUACUCUUUAUUAGCACCGUUGACUCUUUAUCCUUGUCUCUUUUCAUUCAACAAACCCGAAACUGUCCAAAUCAAACAAGGUAAGAGGCAUCCCCACCAUUUUCUCUUCCUUUAUUCCAAUUUUUAUAUACUUUAAAUAAAAAUAGAUCACACCCUCCUUGGAGAGAAAAACAUGCAUGUAGACAUGCAACCAUGUUCUAUGAGUACAGGCAAAAGUGGUACGUGCAAUUUCUAGAAAGGGACAUUAACUGAAAGGGAAGAGACAUCUUUCUUGUCCUCUUUGUUUUUCUCAAUCUGUGAAGUAUGACUGGAGCACCUGUGGCCAUACUGGAUCACGAAGCAAGCUUGGAAAUGGCACAGCAAUGACACAGAGAAGCCUGCAUACUUGAAACCAGGGAGCAUCAUGUUAGUUCUGGACUGACCACUUCGGGAUAUUUUGAACAAAGGAAUAAACUUUUACCUUGGUUAAGCCUCUGCUAUUUUGGCUUGUCCUAUUACUGUAAGUUGAAUGUAAGCCUCCCUAAUUAUGCUGACCAUCUGCUCUAGUUUUACACUUCUUGAUACCUCAGUUUCCACUUGUAUAAACUGAGAAUAAUAAUGAUACCUAACUCAUAAAUCUGCUGUGAAAAUUAAGGAUUUAACAGUGCCUGGUAUAUAAUUAACAUUCAAAAAUGUUGGUUAUUAUAAUUAUCAUUAGCCCUACCCAGUCCAAGAAAGUGUAGCUGGGGAAAUCUGCAAAACUCUAAGGAUUGAGCCUUCCAGUGACAGUAAUAACCUUUAAUUUGCUUUUAAACCUCCUCACCCAUUUCCUUCAAUGAUUAUCAGCAUACUAAUUCCAUUGUCAAUCCUUACCCCCUAUUAACUAGGCUCCAUCUCACCAGAUAACACCUUGUACUACAAAAUUGAGACCACAGACCUCCACUCCCUCCACAAAGGGUGACCCACCUCUACCCUCCUGUGUUCUCAUUCAUGCUGCCUCUUUGCCUUCUCUCAUUCCUGAAGAGGAGGUGCCUUUUGCUCAAGGCUCACGUCUCUGCCUGGUUCUGUACUCCAUACCCCCCCUUUCUUAUUUCACCCCUCCCUUGUAUAUGCAAUUUCUGCUUAUCUAUUGAUUCAUCCUCCUUUUGACAAUAAACACUUUCCAGUUUAUAUCAAUACUAAGCAUGAAAAUUUAUAUAUCACCCUCACUGGCAUAUUCUUUUUUUCUCCCUAUUUAACUACACAUCUGACAAAUCAACAGUGUACUCUAAAUACCCAUCAAUAAAGGUAUUAAUUAUUUCUUUGUUUCCAAAUCCAAUCCUUAUACUUGAUAACAACCAGUCAAAAAGCUGGGAGUCAUAUAAACUAUACUUCUCUUUUAUGCCUUAAAAUAAAUUCAUCAUUAAAUAUUGAUUUUACAACUUAAAUAUCUUUAAAAACCAUUCUUCUCUGUCUGUGAUGCUAUUUUCUUUAAGGCUUCUUCAUAUCCUACCUGAAUCUGUGAAAUAACUAUUUUCUUCCCUUGAAAUCCAGCCUGCCUGUAGCUACCAGAAUGAUCUUUCAAAGUAAUGCUGUGAUGUAGUUUCAUCCUUCUUUGAAGAAGUUGACCCUUUAAAUCCCACCAUGCUGUUUUGUUUACUAUAGCUUUAUAAGAUAGCUUAAAGUCAGGAUAUUUUAUACUUCCAGGUUUGUUCUUUUUUCUCAAGAUUGCUUUUGCUCUUUGGAAUCUUUUAUGGAUCUACACAAAUUGUUUCUUUUUUAUUUCUGUAAAAAAUGCCAUUGGAAUUUGGAUAGAGAUUGCAUGGAAUCUAUAGAUGGCUUUAGGUAUUAAUGACAUUUUAAACAAUAUGAUUUUUUCUGAUCCAUGAACAGGAUAUUCUGCCAUUUAUUUGUGUCUUCUUCAAUUUCUCUCAUUAAAGUCUUACAUUUGUCAGUAUACAGAUCUUUCACCUCCCUGGUUAAAUUUAUUCGUAAGUAUUUUAUUGUUUUUGAUGUUAUUGUGAAUGAGAUUGCUUUAUUUCUUUUUUAGAUAUUUCAUUGCUAGUGUAUAGAAAUCCAACUGAUUCCUAUAUGUUGGUUUUGUAUCCUACAACUUUAAUCAACGAAUUCCUUGAUUAAUCAUUUUUUGGUGAAAUCUUUAGAUUUUCUAUGUAUCAAUCAUAUAAUCCACAAAGACAAUUCAACUUCAUCCAUUUUGAUUUGGAUGCCUGUUAUUUAUUUUUCUUGCCUGACUGCUCUAGCUAGGACUCUGUUGAGUAGGAGUGAUGAGAGUGGGCACCAUUGUCUCGUUUCUGACUUUAGAGAGAAAAAAAACAUUCAAACUUACACCAUUAAUUAUCAUGGUAGCUGUGGGCUUGUCAUAUAUGGCCUUUGUUACACUUCCAUAUGUUCCUUCUAUACCCUAUUAGUUUAGAGUUUUUAUCAUGAAAAACAUGUUGUAUUUUGUCAAAUGCUUUUUCAACAUCUAUUAAGAUGACCAUAACUUCUGUCUUUCUAUUAAUGUAGGGUAUCAUAUGUAUUGAUUUGCACAUGUUGAAGUAUCCUUGCAUGCCAGGGAUGAGUCCCAUUUAUCAUGUUGUAUGAAUCUUUAAAUGUGCUAUUUGGUUUGCUUUGUUGGUAGUUUUGCAUCUAUGUUCAUCAGAAAUAUUAGCCUGCAGUUUUCUUUUCUUGUAGUGUCCUCAUCAAGUUAUAAUGUUAGGGUAAUAUUGGCCUCAUAAAAUGCAUUUGGAAGUAUUCCCUUCUUCUCAGUUUUUUGGAAGAGUUUGAGAAGGAUUGGCAUUAAUUCUUCUUUAAAUGUUUGGUAUUAUUCACGAGAGAAACCAUCUGGUCCUGUGCUUUCCUUUCUUGGAAGAUUUUUGUUUACUGAUUCAAUCUUCUUACUCUUUAUUGGUCUGUUGAGAUUUUCUGUUUAUUCGUAAUUCAGUCUUGGUAGGUUAUAUGUUUCUAGGAAUUUUUCCAUUUCCUCUAGGUUAUCCAAUUCAUAGGCAUAUAGUUGCUCAUAGCAUUCAUGAUCCUUUGCAUUUCUGUGGUAUCAGUUGUAAUGUCUCCUUUUUCAUUUCUGACUUAAUUUAUUUGAGUCUUCUUGGUUUUUCUCAGUCUAGCUAAAAGUUUCUGAAUUUUGUUUAUAUUGUCAAAAAGAUCAGCUCAUAAUUUCAUUGAUCUUUUCUAUUGUUUUUCUGGUCUCUUUCUACUCUGAUAUUUGCCUUCCUUCUGCUAACUUUGGGCUUGGUUUGUUCUUGUUCUAAUUUCUUGAGAUAUAAAGUUAGGUUGCUUAAGAUCUUUUUUUCUUACUGUAGGCAUUUAUCUCUAUAAACUUUCCUCUUAGAAAUGCUUAUGUUGCACCCCAUAAGUUUUGGCAUUUUUUUGGCCAUUUUCAUUUGUUUCAGGAUAAUUUUUAAAUUUCCCUUUUGAAUUCUUCUUUGACCCUAUGGUUGUUUAGGAGUGUGCUGGUUAAUCUCCACAUAUUUGUGAAUUUUCCAGUUUCCUCCAGUUAAAUUGAUUUCUAAUUUCAUCACCAUUAUGGAUGGAAAACAUACUUGGUAUGACUUCAAUCUUCUUAAAUUUUCUAAGACAUUUUUUGGCAGCCCACCAUAUGAUCUCUCCUAGAGAAUUUUCUGUGUGCAUUUGCAAAGAAUGUACACUUGAGAAGAAUGUGUAUUCUGCUGCGUUGGAUUCAAUGUUUUGCAUAUGUCUGUUAGGUACAUUAGGUCUAAAGUAUAGUUCAAAUCCAGUGUUUCCUUAUUGAUUUUCUGUCUGCAUGAUCUAUACAUUGUUGAAAGUUGGGCACUAUAGUCUCCUUCUCUUUGUCAUGAGGCAGCAUAUUUUGGGUCUUGUGCUUUUGUUAUCCUUCCAGCCACUCUAUAUUGUUUAAUUAGAGAAUUUAAUAUUUAUAUUUAGAGUAAUUAUUGAUAGGUAAGGACUUAUUAAUGCCAUCUUUUAAAUUAUUUUCUGACCACUGUAUGGUUCCUUUGUUCUUUUCUUCCUCUCUUGCUGCCUCCCUUUGUGAAUUGAUGGUUUCCUGUAGUGGUAUGGUUUGAUUCAUUUCUCUUUAUCUUCUGUCAAUCUAUGCUUUUGAUGUGUGGUUACCAUGAGGCUUACAUAAAUUAUCUUAUAAAUACAUCAGUCUAUUUUACACUGAUAAUUCAUCUUUGCUCCCUUACAAAAGCUAUCCUUUUACUGCCCCUUUCUACGUUUUUAAUGUCACAAUUUACCUCUUCUUAUAUUGAGUAUUCACUAACAUUAUUGUAGGCAUGUUUAUUUUUAAUACUUUUGUCCUUUAACCUUUACACUAGAGUUAAGUUGUUAACACACCACAUUACAGUAUUAAUCUGAAUUUGACUUUAUACUUAACUUUGCCAAUGUGUUGUAUAUUUUCUUAUGUUUCCACAUUAAUAAAUAGCAUCCUUUCAUGUCAUUGAAGAACACUUUCAGCAUUUUGUAAGGUCUAGUGGUGGUUGACUCCCUCAGCUUUUGUUAAUCUGUGAAAGUCUUCAUCUCCUCUUUAUUCCAAAGGGAAACUUUGCCAGAAGUUUUCUUGGUUGGCCGUUAUUUUCUUUCAGCGCUUUGAACGUAUCAUCCCACUCUCCUGGCCUGUAAGAUUUCUGCUGAGAAAUACACUGAUAGUCUUCUGGGGGUUCCCUUGUAGGUCACAAGCUUCUUCUCUCUUGCUCCUUUUGAGACUCUGUCUUUGAUUUUUGACAGUUUUAUUAUACCGUAUCUCAGAGAAGAUCUCUUUAAGUUGAGUUUGUUUGGUAACCUACGAAUCUUGUGAACAUUGAUAUCCAAAUCUCUCUCUAGAUUUAGAAAGUUCUUAGCCAUUAUUUCUUUAAAUAAGCUUUCUGCCCCCUUCUCACUCUGUUCUCCUGCUGGAACUCCAGUAAUUCACAAUUUACCUCUUUUGAUAGUAUCCAGUAGGUCAUAUAGGCUUUCUUCACUUUUUUUCAGUCUUUUUGUUGUUAUUCUGUUUCAAAGUUCUGUCUUCUAACUCACAGAUUCUUUCUUUUGCUUGAUGCAUUAUGCUGUUACACUCUCUAUUGCAUUUUUCAUUUCAUAUAUUGUAUUCUUCAACCUCCAGAAUUUUUUCAUUAUUUUAAUGAUUCUUAUUUCUUUGAUAAAUUUCUCACUUUUUCAUGUACUGUUUUCUUAAUUUCAUUGAAUUGUCUGUGUUUUCUUGUAGCUCACUGGGCUGCCUUAAAACAGCCAUUUCAAAUUCUUUAUCAAGUAAAAUUUCAGAUCUCCAUGUCUUCAAGAUCAGUUACUAUAUGGAAAUAGAAUAAUGGAAGGUUUUCAUAAUUUUUUGUUGUUGUCAUGUUCCCAUAGUAUUUUAUGUUCCCUGAAGUUUUGCAUUGCUAUCUUCACAUCUGAAGUAACAGUCACCUCCUCCAGUCUUUACUGAUUGCUUUUGGGAAAGAAAUACCUUCUUCCACCAGCCAUAAUUCCUGCUAGGGAUUCUGAUGCUUUUUCAGACAUACUAUGGAUAUGCCUGUUCCAUUCUCCUUGUUCCCUCUUACUGUACAAUUCUUAAUCUUUUAUGCCUCUGUUGACCCUGCAAUAUACCAGGCCAGGUGCUGACAGCUUCCCUUCUGCCUUCUCAAGGAUGGUACUAAACCUUAAGUUUGCAGUGUCUUCCUGACCCAAAGGUUUGGGCUAACUUUCUCCUUGUACUCACUAUUUGUAUGUCAAAGCUCAGUCUCACUGCUGCCACUAGGAUUACACACAGGGCGCUGGCCAUAGGGUGGACAUUGUUCCAGACAACUUUGAAAGAAGUGGGGGUGAGUCACAUGGAGUACUGGGGGUGCCUAUGGGCCAGCUGGGGAGACUGCAGGCAACGGAUGUGCAGUGGUUCAUGGACAGGCUUCUUAAUGGAGUCCGUGUCACAGUUAGUAGGAUCCACGUCCCUGUAAUGUCCUCUGUGUCCCAUCUGUUGCUCUCUCAGCUGCUUUCCAACCCCCAAUCAUGCAGCUCAUGAUUCAGUGAUCCUCUCUGAUGUGCUCAAACUUGUAACAUUUUUUGCUCCAGUGGUGUGCUAGAAUUUCUCCUCUGGAACCUGGACUUCCACAAAGAUUCUCUCAUCUGUGGAGACUGAAUGCAACAGGACUUUCCAAGGGUUCCCAAAUAAUGGCCAAGAGAGGCUAGAGCCAGUUCAUGGGCCACAACUGGGUCCACAGCUGAGACCAAGGUUUUUAUGCCUAUUACUGCAUGCACACAGAGGUGAGGCUCCUUCCAGGCCCCCUGGCAUAUGGUACUAGAUCUCACAGCUCUGACAAAGCACUUUUGCCCAUGGAUAAUGCCAAAUUGUUGUUGUUGAGGGGUGGGACAUGAUAGACAAGGACUGUUCUAUUUAUCUGUGUUGUUGACAUCACUCCUAUAGUCAUUUGUUUAAAUUUCUAUUAGAUUGCUAACCUUCCAGGCAAGUACAGUCUCCCCUUCACUUUUCCACUUUGCAUUCUCAGUGCAUAUCAUAGCAAUAAAACUCUGGAAUGAACACAUAUAUAGAAAAUAUUUGGGAAAAAAAACGCAAGUGGUAUAAAAGCACCAGAAGUGAAACAGUCACUAAUAGACAAGGUUUUCCUUCCUCCAGCCCCCAUUUUGACACCUUGGGUUUUCAUACAAUCAGGUUAAAAAUUGUUUUACAAAAUGUCUCCUAAUUGUUCCAAACAACCUUGAUAGAAGUUUUCUCUCUUUAUUAAUUUUCCUUUAUAUGUUUUAUUUGCAACUCUUUAAUCUUGAACCUUUGUUAACUACACCUCACUAUUUAUGCUUUCAAUGAUUUCACAUUAAGUUGGUUGGUCUUCUUUACCAUAUUUCUCCAAUUUCUAUUCUGUAGAGCAAAGUCUCACCUAGUGUGCUUGCCCUUUGUUUUAACUUCCUCCGUGGACAAUAUCAGCAGAUUUAAUUUCCUUUGUACAACUAAGCUUAAUGAACAACCAGUUCAUUAUGAAGUCAUGAAAUUUUUUUCUAUGCUCUAAUACAGUAUUCUUCAUUUUCUAAUUUUCUACUCAAUAUACCAUCUUACAGGAUGUGAGCUUUGCCUUUUUUUUGUGUCUUUGUUGUACUAAGUCAUCUACAUUUCCUUUCUCUGUCCCUUUGUUAUCAGGCUAGUUUGUGUGAGAAUGUUAGCUGGAGUUAAUGCCAUAGCAAGAACUGCCAGACAAAUUCACUCCUUGUAAAGACAUUUAAAAACUCUGAUACUCAUAUAUGAUAAAUUAGUAACCAAUGUCUGUGAAUUAAUACAUUUCUUCAUUAAUUAAUAAAACCCCAUGUACUUAAGAUGUUGCCACUCCAACUUAUGUUUGAACAGAGAAAUCAAGUGAGCAAUCAUACUGAUAGAAUUCUUACUAGUUAUGUUUGCAGGAAAUUUGAAGCUUAAAUAUUAAAUAAUUGCAAUUAAGGAGAUCCAUGAAAUAUAAUAUUGGUAUCUUCCCAAAGGUGAACAUUAUAUUUUUUCACACUGAAGUGUUUAAAGGCUUAUCAUAUAAGAACCAAGUAAUAUAAUACAGUUAAUCUGCAUAAUAAGCCUUAAAUGUAUUUUUUUAAAUUUCAGGUCCAUGAAUAUCCAUAAUCAUUUCAUAUUCAUACCAUACUAGAGACUAUCUUAGUUUUAUUAUAGUGUUGACUCAACAUAUUUGAGCAAACAGUUAUUUGGGCCAUCUAGCUAGUAUAUAGGAAAAAUCAAAAUACAUAGUUCAAACACAUUUAACAAAAUACAUAAUUUUAACAUUUCAAGGAAGCAUUUUUAGAGUUACCAUAAGUAAGACAUUUACUGACAACCUGCAGUAGGUUGGGUAAAGAAUCUUUCAUUUAAUUCAACAUUGAAUUAAAACUGAUAUUGGGGGAAAAAAAGUUAUAUUAUGUGAAUGAACUUCAAAAGGUUCAGAAGUUGGCCCUGAUAUAUUCACAUUCUCAUCCAAACUGGAAAUCUGAAAUAUUAUGUUGAAAAUGGCUUAAAACUGUCUUUUUUGAAAGACUACAGGACCUUUAUUUUCUCCUUCCCACCAGACUAUAAAUGCUGGAAGAACAACCUGUCUUAUGGCAUUUUGGGCACACAAUUUCCCUUCCCAGCAAUAAAUUGGAAGUACAGAGUUUAUGUCUGUUGGAUUCCCAUCUGUCAACUAAACAGCAGUGAGAUCAAAUCCAUCACUCAGUUUCUAAGGCUGUUUAUUAGUUAUACGCUUGAUCCUGGCCUUUUAGGAAUCCCAUUCAUAAGACGGAAAAAAUCAAGGUAGUAACCUCUGCCAUACUGAUGGUAAACUUAAAUUACACAUACAUAUGUUUGUUUCUCAUUAGUUGUCACACAUUAUCAUAUUAGCAAAGUGUACUUUUGUAUUUGCUUAAGGUGCUAUUUUUGAUGUUAUUUAUGACAAGUUAAAAAGAUCACCUCCUGCUAGAUUGAGACAGGUAUCUAGAAAGAACAAAACUAAACAAGAUAACAAAGCCUGUGCUAACUACAAUUGCCUAGGAACAAUGUUUAUUGUAAUGAAAGGUAUUAUGCAUGAAGGCGACGGAAACAACGACAUCUUUGAAAGAAAAACUGUGCUUGUGCAUAUGUGCACAUACGUGUGUGUGCCCAAUUAUCCAUUCUUUUAUAGAUUCCUCUAUAAGGCUGACCUAAAUUUUCUUUCCUGUAAAAACAUCUGAAACUGUUAUGUUGGUGUUUCAGUGAGCUGAUGUUUUCACAGAGAUUAUACUGAAUUGUCUCACGUUUUUUUGUGUGUUAUACCUUUGAUAACAAGUUAAAAGUGGAAUUGGGGGGGGGGAAAGACUACCUGCAAACAAGGAACUCCUGUUAAUGAAAUUCUGCAUUGCAUAGUCAACUUUUUGCUUGUCAAAGCAAUGAAACCCAUACUCACAAAAGGACAGAGUAGGAGUGCAGACUGGGGGCAAUUUAGAGCAGUGGUUUCUGUCUUUAUAAUCUCCCAACGUUAUUUCUAUCAUAAUUGCUAGUCAUUAUUAACUCCAAAGAUUCAAACAAAUUCACAGUCAAGCCCUGUUCCCCAUUCAAACAUACACUAUGUGUUA
Long non-coding RNA from Manis pentadactyla (Chinese pangolin), 12012 nucleotides. RefSeq lists it as uncharacterized. Lineage: Eukaryota; Metazoa; Chordata; Mammalia; Pholidota; Manidae. The record is from RefSeq and is a predicted model, not a curated record. The transcript has 3 exons.